UGUAAAAUAGUGUAAGGUGCACACAAGCCUUUGAAACUUGUAGACAGCGGUUCAAAUCCCUGUUUUACAA
Molecule: transfer RNA, 70 nt
Filed under: Sirsoe methanicola
Lineage: Eukaryota; Metazoa; Annelida; Polychaeta; Phyllodocida; Hesionidae
Description: tRNA-Gln
Rfam family: tRNA
About the family: Transfer RNA (tRNA) molecules are approximately 80 nucleotides in length. Their secondary structure includes four short double-helical elements and three loops (D, anti-codon, and T loops).
Source: RNAcentral